Miniopterus natalensis is the source of this 1617-nucleotide non-coding RNA. Lineage: Eukaryota; Metazoa; Chordata; Mammalia; Chiroptera; Miniopteridae. The record is from RefSeq and is a predicted model, not a curated record.
UUUUGCUGCCUGUGCUUUUGGUGGAACAGCCAAGAAGUUAUUGCCAAGACCAAUGUCAGGAAGCUUCUCUCCGAUGUUUUCUUCCGGGAGCUUCACAGCUUCAGGGGUGCAGGGAAUUACCCUGAAAACAGGAAACUCCAGUCGACACAGGUACCAAUUUAAUGUAUGUUCCUCAAAAAGAGUUUGUAUAAGGUCCUGCAAAGCCCACUGCGUUAUUCUACUAGUGCCAUGAUUAUGCUUUGUAACAAAUUGCUCAAAACUCAAUAGUUAUAAAAACAAGCAUUCUUAUAUUCAAAGAUCUGCUUAUUGACUACUGUCCAGCUGAUAAAGGCUGUGUUCGAUUGUGCUUCAGGAUGCGUUUGGAUGGGCUUGAAUCUAGGACAUAGAUUUAUGCAGGUCUGCUGCAUGUGUUUGUUCAGGGACCCAAGCUGAGGUAGCAGGACCUGAGCAAGUCACAUUUUCCCAUAAAGAAUCACCUGAAUACAAGAGUCUAACCAGACCAUGCAAGUGAUUUUCAGACUUGGUUUUCAUGUUUAUCAUGGUUAGUAAUGUUCCAUUGGCCAAAGUAAGUCAUAUGACCAAGCCUAACAUCAGUGGACCAGGAGAAAUGUUUUGUUCAUAGUGGUGGUGGUGGAGUUGAUUUCAAUCUGGGUUCUAUCAGCUACUAGUCAUGUGGUUUUAGGAAAGUCUCUUAAUCAAUCUGUACCUCCAGUUUCCUCAUCUGUAAAACAAAGCAUGCCCUUGUUGGCAGGUUAGUGUAGGACUAAGGAAUUAAUGCAUGAUUUGUGUAUUGCCUUGCAUGUUGUAGGCCAACAACGAAUGAUAGCUAUCAUCAUUUGCAUGUGUUUAUUUAUGCUGUCCCAGAGUUUCUAAGAGCAAUAUAAUAGUAUCAGAUCAUCUAUGAAGUAAAGGGUAAGAGACAGUGAACCUGGUUUUUCUACUUUGGGUUCUCACAUCUCAAUGGAAUACAGGAAAAGGCUAAGAAUUUGCUAAGAGUUGGAGAAUGGGGGCUGUUUAAGGAGAGUUUGAGGGAUUCUGGGGGUUUCUUUUCCUUCGCUGUGAAUCAUGUUUACCACUCACUUCAAGGCAAAUGAGGAUGUGCAGGAGGCUAAUUUGGAGAACUUGACAUAUCAGGAAGUAGCACACGACUUGUGUCUGAACAUUAUAAAGACAAGAGACUCUGGCGAAGUCACAGAGCCGGCCAAGAGGAGCCACCCAAGGGCAAGAUUGCUUGGGGAGUGCGGACUCCCUGCUGUGCCUCUCCUGAGAAGCCAAGAUAAGGGAGGAGAGGCCACAGUGUCUCCUGACUGAUAACCAGGCUCCACCCAGAGGCCAAUGGUGUGUGUAAGGGGACAGGGGCCUUCAGUGGCAGAAGUGCCCCUUCUCCAGGACCAACGAACUGGGGUGGAAGGAGGAGGGGGGCCAUUUCCUGAACCCUAGUCCUGGGACUCGGCACCCAGACCACAACCAGGAAAGAUUUGGGGAGCCAGAGAGAAGGACUGACGGACAGACUGCAAGCCCCCUGGAGAAAACCACUUCUUUUUGGAGUCAGAGGCCUCAGCUGGGGAGUGGGGGCAGCUGCUGUCUUCUCUCCUCCCCCCGCUCACUCGGUUCAGG